GUCUUGAGUACAGUAGAGGUGGGCGGAAUUCGUGGUGUAGCGGUGAAAUGCUUAGAUAUCACGAAGAACUCCGAUUGCGAAGGCAGCUCACUGGACUGCAACUGACACUGAUGCUCGAAAGUGUGGGUAUCAAACAGGAUUAGAUACCCUGGUAGUCCACACAGUAAACGAUGAAUACUCGCUGUUUGCGAUAUACAGUAAGCGGCCAAGCGAAAGCAUUAAGUAUUCCACCUGGGGAGUACGCCGGCAACGGUGAAACUCAAAGGAAUUGACGGGGGCCCGCACAAGCGGAGGAACAUGUGGUUUAAUUCGAUGAUACGCGAGGAACCUUACCCGGGCUUAAAUUGCAGUGGAAUGAUGUGGAAACAUGUCAGUGAGCAAUCACCGCUGUGAAGGUGCUGCAUGGUUGUCGUCAGCUCGUGCCGUGAGGUGUCGGCUUAAGUGCCAUAACGAGCGCAACCCUUAUCUUCAGUUACUAACAGGUUAUGCUGAGGACUCUGGAGAGACUGCCGUCGUAAGAUGUGAGGAAGGUGGGGAUGACGUCAAAUCAGCACGGCCCUUACGUCCGGGGCUACACACGUGUUACAAUGGGGGGUACAGAAGGCAGCUAGCGGGUGACCGUAUGCUAAUCCCAAAAGCCUCUCUCAGUUCGGAUCGAAGUCUGCAACCCGACUUCGUGAAGCUGGAUUCGCUAGUAAUCGCGCAUCAGCCACGGCGCGGUGAAUACGUUCCCGGGCCUUGUACACACCGCCCGUCAAGCCAUGGGAGCCGGGGGUACCUGAAGUACGUAACCGCAAGGAUCGUCCUAGGGUAAAACUGGUGACUGGGGCUAAGUCGUAACAAGGUAGCCGUACCGGAAGGUGCGGCUG
Molecule: ribosomal RNA, 869 nt
Filed under: gut metagenome
Description: bacterial SSU rRNA
Rfam family: Bacterial small subunit ribosomal RNA
Source: RNAcentral